UACGGAGGGGGGCAAGCGUUUGUUCGGAAUUACUGGGCGUAAAGGGCGCGCAGGCGGCUGCUCAAGUCAGGCGUGAAAGGCCUGGGCUCAACCCGGGAAUUGCGCUUGAGACUGGGCUGGCUUGAGUGCGGGAGAGGAUGGUGGAAUUCCCAGUGUAGAGGUGAAAUUCGUAGAUAUUGGGAAGAACACCGGUGGCGAAGGCGGCCAUCUGGACCGCAACUGACGCUGAGGUGCGAAAGCGUGGGGGAGCAAACAGG
Molecule: ribosomal RNA, 257 nt
Filed under: uncultured bacterium
Lineage: Bacteria
Description: partial 16S ribosomal RNA
Rfam family: Bacterial small subunit ribosomal RNA
Source: RNAcentral